UCCGGCUUAUCACCGGCAGUUUCUUUAGAGUGCUCAACUAAAUGGUAGCAACUAAAGAUGAGGGUUGCGCUCGUUGCGGGACUUAACCCAACAUCUCACGACACGAGCUGACGACAGCCAUGCAACACCUGUGUGUUAGCCAGCCGAACUGAAGAACUCCGUUUCUGGAGUCCAUACUAACCAUGUCAAGGCCUGGUAAGGUUCUUCGCGUUGCCUCGAAUUAAACCACAUGCUCCACCGCUUGUGCGGGUCCCCGUCAAUUUCUUUGAGUUUUAAUCUUGCGACCGUACUCCCCAGGCGGAAUGCUUAAUGCGUUAGCGGCGCCACUGACCCUAACGGGCCAACAGCUAGCAUUCAUCGUUUACAGCGUGGACUAC
RNAcentral lists this unclassified non-coding RNA (377 nucleotides) under uncultured Rickettsiales bacterium. Its description in RNAcentral is "contains 16S-23S intergenic spacer region". Lineage: Bacteria; Pseudomonadati; Pseudomonadota; Alphaproteobacteria; Rickettsiales. The record is from RNAcentral.